UACAGAGGGUGCAAGCGUUAAUUGGAAUUACUGGGCGUAAAGCGUGCGUAGACGGUUAUGUAAGUCAGAUGUGAAAGCCCCGGGCUUAACCUGGGAAUGGCAUUUGAGACUGCAUAGCUAGGGUGCGGAAGAGGGAAGCGGAAGUUUCCGGUGUAGCGGUGAAAUGCGUAGAUAUCGGAAGGAACACCAGUGGCGAAAGCGGCUUCCUGGUCCCAGCACCGACGUUCAGGCACGAAAGCGUGGGGAGCAAACAGG
Molecule: ribosomal RNA, 255 nt
Filed under: uncultured bacterium
Lineage: Bacteria
Description: partial 16S ribosomal RNA
Rfam family: Bacterial small subunit ribosomal RNA
Source: RNAcentral